This 465-nucleotide ribosomal RNA is filed under the name Vreelandella stevensii. RNAcentral describes it as "partial 16S ribosomal RNA". It matches the Rfam family "Bacterial small subunit ribosomal RNA", at positions 338 to 795 of the family's 1533-position model. The record is from RNAcentral. Lineage: Bacteria; Pseudomonadati; Pseudomonadota; Gammaproteobacteria; Oceanospirillales; Halomonadaceae.
CCUACGGGAGGCUGCAGUGGGGAAUAUUGGACAAUGGGGGGAACCCUGAUCCAGCCAUGCCGCGUGUGUGAAGAAGGCCCUCGGGUUGUAAAGCACUUUCAGUGAGGAAGAACGCCUGGUGGUUAAUACCCAUCAGGAAAGACAUCACUCACAGAAGAAGCACCGGCUAACUCCGUGCCAGCAGCCGCGGUAAUACGGAGGGUGCGAGUGUUAAUCGGAAUUACUGGGCGUAAAGCGCGCGUAGGUGGCUUGAUAAGCCGGUUGUGAAAGCCCCGGGCUCAACCUGGGAACGGCAUCCGGAACUGUCAAGCUGGAGUGCAGGAGAGGAAGGUGGAAUUCCCGGUGUAGCGGUGAAAUGCGUAGAGAUCGGGAGGAAUACCAGUGGCGAAGGCGGCCUUCUGGACUGACACUGACACUGAGGUGCGAAAGCGUGGGUAGCAAACAGGAUUAGAUACCCUGGUAGUC